Molecule: long non-coding RNA, 1604 nt
Filed under: Fragaria vesca (wild strawberry)
Lineage: Eukaryota; Viridiplantae; Streptophyta; Magnoliopsida; Rosales; Rosaceae
Description: long non-coding RNA (FVES_LNC005420)
Source: RNAcentral
ACAAAUUAACUAAUUAAUUUUUUUAAAUACCUGUUUACGAGGGUUGUUGAAUUCUGAUGUUAGAAGCCAACGCCACUCGUACUCCCUGUACAAGAACUCAACAGGGGUACCAGAACGUGCGUUCCCGUGCGUAGUCCAGUGGGUCCGCAACUCGUUCUUCCAUUCCUUGUACCUACAGAUACAACAAAAUAUUAGAAAUAUUAUUAAUAUCACAUGCAAUUUGUUUUUUCAUUAACUUCCCAACGUACCUUCCCCCAUGCACAACGUCCGCCCAGCUGCUCUUCAGGUGCUCGGGAACUUCAAACCACACAUGCAUUUAACCGUUUAUUAGUUUAGUUUUUCAAAAAAUCAACAAUGUAAUACAUAAUAUUAUUGAGGCAUUUUGUAAACUCACCGACAUCGCGUUGUGGACCAUAUCCUUAACCUCCUACGGGACCUCGCCCCAGUCUGACUACAACAUAGGGACUCUAUCCCUAAUGAGCGCUCCCACGCGGCCGGAGUACAUCCUCGACUUCCCGCCCGAUACUAUGUCGCCAUCCCCGUCAGUACGGAUGACGAUCCUCCCUGAGGUACCGACCAUCUUCUCGAGAGCCUUCCCUGUGACGGGGCCUCUCUUCUUCUUUGCCGGCUUCGCUCCGACGGUGCCUAUCACAUGAUAAACCAAAUUGAUUAUUAAAAUCGGAGAAUUAUAAGAAAACAAAUCAUUCAUCUUUUAUUACCUGAGGGCGAUGCGGCGGACGCGACAGAUUCCAUCUCUGUCACCGAUGAUGAUACCCUCGCGGAAAUAAGAGGCGUAUAAAAAGACACGAACUGGUACGCCGCUGAUGAAGCCACUGGUGGGGGCAGUGGAUAAAUCGACGCCCCUGAGCCAUCGACUGCAGGUAUUGCCGGUAUUAUCCGCGGAAGGAACAGAUGAGGCGGCGGCAUCUGUACCCCAGAUGACCCACCAUCCGAAGUAGUAGGACUCGGAGUGGGCGCCCGGUGUAUCUCAGGCAUACAGGGUGCAGACACCUCCGUCUGGGUCUGAGGCCACAACUGCCUCGAGGAAUGAGGGACGCGCGGCUGCCUCGAUGACUGGGGCACCUCCGGCUGCCUCGAUGAAGGGGGCACCUCCGGCGGCCUCUACGCCGUCUCCAGAAGGGCCGCACGUCUGGCUGUCAUGAGGCCCCGAAACAACGUUUGAGAGUUGCUAGAGGUUCCCUCAGACGAUUCGGACCUUUGGCCCUUCGAACCUUUCGUCGAUCUAAAAUUACCACUCAUCCUGUUUAAAAUAUUAAUUUGAAUCAAGGCUGAGAAAGAAAAUCAUGAAACUUCAUAACGACAAACCACAUGUAGGUCAUACACAAAAUCAAUAGGCAUCAAAAAUAUCCACAAUAUUCCAACAAAACCAUAUAUUAAAACUUGCAUAAUCCAAUAUAUUAAAACUUGCAAAAUCAAUCGGCGUCGAUCAUAGUUUUUUUAUUUGGUCCUAUCAAAUUAAUGCAAAUUUUUGUCAAAACACCAACUCAAUCAUUCACACCAAUAACAUUCAAUAGAUGGAUUAUCACCAAAAUUCUCAAUAUAUUCAUCAUAAACCAAUCCACAAUAUCAAUAGCGAAUAAAAA